AGAGCUUCUAGUCUUCGGUGUUCUAUAACCCUCAUGCCUCCGCAUACCUAGUAUUCAGCUCCCUUAUAUUGCAGAUAGAAAACUACAAGUGAUUACUGCUUGUGGGAACUCAUUAAACUAGGAUAACUCAAUUGCUUGCAAUUAUAUAUUCUCACCCUUAUUUCUCUCAGUAUCUGCUCUAUUCUGUUUGCUGGACAUUAUCACUGUGAACUGAGAGAUCAGCUGAGAGGACUGAGAAGAUAGGAUUUGUCUUUGAGACCUGAACACAUCAGAGCUCCUCAUGAAGAAGAAUUCUAGGUACUCUCAUUGCACUUAAUUAUAUUGCAUCUCUGCAGCUUAGUCUUCAACAGCUGACUGAGGGAAAUAAGAAAAAAAAUUUAAAAAUGGACUAAUAUUUUAUAUGUUGAAUGAAGAUGUUCAGCUUUAUUUCAGAACCAACUACACUAAAGAAAUCUGGGAGUGGAGAGAACUAGUCAUUUCUUUACCUAAGGAAAGGUGUACAGGUUUUUUAUUAACAAUAGGUUUUCACCCACUGGCCUCAGAAUAAUUUUGUGAUACAUCCGUAGCACCUGCUCAGAUUACUCCAGUUUCCCACUGUGUAUCUCCUAUAUGGUGGAUUACAGCUUUUGGAUGCCCACUUGCCCUAGAAGGUUAGGAACCUCAGAUACUGGACGUUCAGAAAUCCUGGACAUACAGCUGACUGGUAAAAGUCACAGCCCAUGUGUACAGCACUACAUUGCUAUGCACAGAAGUACUGUGCAUAGUCUCUGGGUGCUUUCUGGCACCUUCUGGAAGUAGCAGAUGUGCUUCUCCUGCCCACUUGCUUUCAAAAGCCAUGAAAAUUAUUUCGUGUAUUCUCUGCAGUUAUUCUGUGUAUAUACAGCAAAUCCCAUGUAUAAUGAAAGUAUUGGAAAUAGUAUGCAUAUCCUGAAUAUGCAUUUACUUAUAUCUUGCAAAAAAAAAAAAUUAUUAAGAUGAGUACUUAUGAAGGUAUUACAACUGAAAUUGGAUUCAAAUCACUUACUGUUUUGGAGCUUUCUCGAAAAUCCUUUCCUCUUGCAAACUGGGUUUCCUGAAAGGUUCAAUGUAUUUCAGUACUUGAAAGUCAGGAGGAGCAGCUAGUUUUAUUAGAGGAUACUUAAACCAGAUGUCUGUCGAGUAACUGUACUGUAUAAGCAUUGAUUUAUUUAUGUUCUUGUUAAUUAGCUAACCAUAUUUGGAAAUACGUGUGGUUAAAGGUUCAAAAAGCUGUCAGUAAUCUGAAAUCUCUGAGCAGAAUCAGAGCAAGAGAAACUUAAAAAACCUAAAUUUGCAAUUGCCUGAGAUCUAUAAAAUAAAUUACUCUCAAGGAAGUGUCAAUCAAGUAUUUUAAACACUCUAGCUCCUUAGGCUCAUAAAGUUUAUUAGUAAGAUGAUGUUUCCUUUGAAGUCACCCUGUUAUUCAAGGUGUUGUUUCUGUUGCCUCUGGCUGUUUCCUGUGAGGUCUGUCAUUCACUGCCUGCCUCUGAACUCUAAUACAGGUAAAUCAGUAGAACUAAAGAAAAUCUCCCAGGAACAAAUACCUAGAUAAGAAAAUAAUCCUUUAUUUUUGGCUUGCUGCUACAAACUGUCCGGCCCCACAACCUGGCAAAUCAGUCCCCCAGUGAUUGUUGGAAGCUUUGUUUAAAGAUAAAGUUUUCUAAGAUGUGAACACUAUUCCAAGCAGAACACACAGACAUACAUGCAACAACUGACUUGAAGAUAAGAGGCUCACUGGGAGUAAAAACACGUCUCAGCUUAGCCUGAUUUCAAGAUAGCAGCACAGCCAUACAGGAUUAGAUUUGAGGAGGAACUGUGCUCCAAAUCUGGGUCCAACUUAAAUGACUAGGUGGGAGGCAUAUAUAAAAUAGUUUUGUUCAAGGUCUUCAGUAGUCUUACUUUUUUUCUCAGUAGUCUUACUUUUUUUCUUAAAACAUCUGCAAUUGAACAUUCAUAUUUAACUUAAUAGAAAGCAUAACUUUUUGCUAGACAAAAUAAUAGCAUAGGAGAGAAAAGGAACAGGAAAAAAAAACCCAAUACUUUCAUUAAAACAGAUGUUGCAAGUUUUUGUUUGUUUUCUAUGAAGGAAUUCAUACAAAUACAAACAAAAUUAUUAGCACUGAAGUCAUCGCAGGCAUUUGUUUUAACAUAUACUUAACUUGCUGCAUGUGUUAUGAAAGGAUCACAUUACUUCAUUUCAGGUAAGAGUUUGGACUCUGCGGAUUGCUUAUCUAUUAUUACAGUUGUGUUAGUAAUGUGAACUCUGAGGAAAGUAUGCAGAAGAAAGAGAAGGCAAGCUUUGUUUUCUUGGUGAAGUUACAUUUCCUUGCAAUAAGAAAUUACAGUUAUAAAACCUUUCAUUUCUAAGAAACUUUGUGUUUGACAAACUGUAUGCAUGUAUGAAUCAUUUCACAGAAGUGGAACUAUUUUCACCCAACACUGAAGUGAAAUCAGCAUGGCAGGUGCUUCAACAGUAUGGCACAGUAACUUUGGAAAGGGAGGAGGAAAAGAAACUGCUAAAAUAAAGCUUUGCAGAGAAAGACUGUUAUCAGCCCUUCAAAUCAGAAUACAGAGAUGCUUGAUCCUUUUUUAGUUAAAGCUUUUCUUGUGGGACUUUCUACACAAAAAGAAACCAAGUCAUUUUGCUGAAAAGUAUUCAAUCUAUGUAUUUCAAACCUUCCAUCUUCUCAGUCAAGCUGGUCCUUCUGGCACCUAACACUGUAAGGGGUAACAUACACAAAGUGAUAAUACUUAUAAGCAGAUAGAAGCAAAUGAUUGUGAAACACCCUGACAGCCAUUUGAAAUGAGAAAGUUGCUAAUAGUAUUUUAGGAAGAGAUGCAUCUCCUCAGAAUUUCUGUAUAUAAUCCUAUCGGUCAAAUAUUAUGGCAUAAAUCCUUGACAGCUUGAUCAAAAUAGAUUAUAUUUGGUGGUAUUUUCCAUACAUGAAGCAAAAGUGGUACCAUAAACAAGGCAAAGUAUCAGCCUUUCAGAUUAUAUCACUUCGCAUCAUAGUAUUUGCUAAGGAAGAAGAGUUUCCGCUGAGCUCUCAGUGUCACUGUGACUCUCCUGCUGCCGGGGUCUGGCCCUGUGCACACACAGAAGCUAGUGGUAAGCUUCCUCUUGCUACUGCACUAUCUAGCCCCAAGACAGGACUUCCUCAGGAGCUCAGCAGCGCUUCCCUUUCAUUAGCCAUGUGUUUGUUACUGGGUGGAUAAAUGUAUGCUGAGCAGCCAAUGGAGAAAAUCUCUUUUACAAAUAUUAAUUCUCAUGAUAAGCUUGAGAGCUAAGCAAGUUUUUACGAUACUGAUUUCAUAUACCAGCAAAGCAUGAGGCAGAAGGGUUAAAUUAGGCUGCAAACAAAGUAGCUGCCACUGAGAAUGAAAUCUAGGAAUCCCGUUGACUUAUGAUUCCCUGUUGUCACUAGAAGGCCAAAUUCCGUCUUAAAACUACUCAACAUUGAAGUAACUUUAUUUUAAAAAAUUCUGGGCAAUUCUAUACCAAUGAAAGCUAUUAUAACGUUGCCUUGUUAAAUUCCAUUAAGUUUUAAAUGCUUGACUCAUCUAGCAUAGGUCAGUUUAAAGAAUCUGUAUUUCCUUUGAAGAGCAUGAAGUAUUGUAAUUGUGCACACCGCAGUUCUUUAAUAAUAAAUAUCUCUUCUGCUUAAAACUCAUAUUAAUAAUUUAUGGAGGCAGUCUGAAGAACAAUCUUUGCAUGUACUUUAAAGCAAAGUAGGGAGUGAAGUGCUGCUCAGAAAACACACUACAAAUAGGAUCUUCUUAUCGUUAUUUUGGAUGAAGGAAAACAGUUGUGAUACUGUUAUUUUACUCUCCUCUAGAUGCUUAGUUUUAUUCUCAGUGUCAGGAGAAUAACAACAACAAAAGGUAUCAUGACUGGAACUUUCAGUCUCACCAUUAAAAACUACCUGCCAGAAAAGAGAAAGAUUCUAACACUAAUAAGCUGAAGAUGCCCAUUGCUGAUACAUGGGAACAUAAGAAAUGAUAAAAUAAUAGUUUCUGCUUUGCAAUAAGACAAAGUGUAUUUAUUUCAAAUAUAGAUUCAAUUUUCAUUACUGAAGUAGGAAUAAGAAUUGCCACAGCAGUUUGAACUGCAAGGUUGGAGAAAAAUGUUCUCACCUGAGUAGGUAGCCAUGCCAGUAUUCACAGCUGACUUGGGGCUUCUUAACAGUGCAUGCCAAAAAGUGUUUUGAAUCCCCGUGAAAUAAAAAUGAGGGACUUAGGUUAUGCUGCGAUCAGGGCGUUUCUGCUACUGCAGAGACAGGGUCUACUUUGUGUAAUGCUGUGGCUUGACCUGCUAGCACUCAAGAAUCAAGAAGGGAGCAUCAGCAAUAUUUCUCGGAUAGCAGGGACUGAUUUCUCCGUUUAACUGAAAUCUUUGUAAACAGUGGAGAGACUGAUUCAGUUUCCAGCAAAGAUUUUGAAAAGAUAUCUUUCUAACUAGGGGGAGAGAGAAACCUUACUAAUGACUACCUAGAGAAGAGUUCUUAUCCAUCAGCAGUUUUGACAGCAACUCAAGUAAAUAUUUUUCAAGGAUCAUUAAAAGAUUUUUUUUUUUAAUUUUCCUCUAUUAGAAAGAGUUGGACAAUCUUCUGUUUUAGGGUUCUUUCUGCUCCAUUCUUCCAUGGUCUACUGGUGACUCCCUUGCUAAUCCUAACAGCAUUUAGAGAAAAUGCUCUUGCCUGAACAUUUUUUCGGGUGAAUUAGUGUGGCACAUGAUUUAUAUUUUGACUGCACCUAACUAACAAAAGGAGCAUUUAAAAAUAUAGAUCGCGGCCCUAGUCUGUGACAUACAAGAAUUGUUAUUCAUAGAGAAUUUACAUCCUCUCCUGAAUUCUUGGGCUGCUCUCCACUGGAGCACUGCAUGUUUCCUACCAAGGACUCUUGAGACCUUCAUCCCUAAGACAAGAAUACAGCACGAUUGGGGACAGCACAGCUGACCUACAUCAUUCAGCAGAUAUGAACUUUCAUUGAAAACAUGGAAGGCAGACAGUUUCCCUUAGCUGGAGUUACAGCAUCCUCUUUUGUGCCGCUAGCCUCUGCAACAUUUUUGGUUUAUCUAAAGAGCAUAUUCUUUAAAUGUGAACAAGCCAAGUCUCCUGGGAUAUGAUCUAAGUCAGCCACACACAGUCUCUUUCAGUGACUGAGUUCAAGUCAUACUUUCUGAAAAAGUUAACAAGAGCCAUGACUUUAUAAGACCAUUCAUGUUCUGUGUUAGAUUUUAUUAUGGUCACAGCAGCACAGGUAGAGCUCUGAGAUUUACACAAGCCUAUUCAUUUUAAAUGGUUCAUCCACACUUUUGAUUUUCUUUCUUUUAAGCUUUGUGAGCAAAUAGAAUGGCCUCAGCAAUGACUGAACAUUAACACUGGUUUGUUAGGUAUUCUGCAGGUAGGUGCAAUGUAGGUUACUUCUUGGAGGACUGUCAGUGCACCUCAGUUCCGACCUUUGGUGUUUCAUGUAUGUGGCACUGAAAGCCUCAGAAAACGUCACAAAACAAGCUGCAAUCAAACAACUGAACUGAACUCCCAGCAAAUAGAAAGUACAGAGUAAAAACAUGGUUAAGAAGGUGCUUCAUGAUGAUAACAUGUUUCAUUUUGAACGUCUUUUUUCUUUUGAAACUAUAUACAAAAAUAUAAUUCAGGAUUUCAUUUUUUUUUUAAUUUUCAAAUCUAUAAUAAAAUUGCACAUACCAAAAAGUUCUCCUGCUAGGACUUGCCAAACAUGUCUGGAACCAAACCCACUAAGAUCUGUCCGCUCAGUCCCCAGUACUCUGGGCUGAGACCUUACCCCUGACUACUAUCAAAGGCCAUGAAGAGCUGUUUUAAGAAGGGUGCCAGCACCUCCCAGGGAUAUAGGGAGAGCAAGGCCUUGCUGGCACUGCCAGAAAUCUUACUGCUGGGUUGUCUACUCCCAGGGAUAUUGUAUAAUCUCAAUAGACUGCAUUAUGUGUGAAAACAAAGAUGACUCUGCCUCCUUUGGGGAUAAGCAGCAUCCCUCAUAUCCAGACACUUAAUCAUAUAGGGUGAUCAGAUAAACUGACAAUCUCCCAGACAUCAGGACUGUCUAGUGCAUAUCUAAAUGUUUAAGAAAUUUAUUCCUAUUUCACAGUUACAGCCAUUUCUGAAGCAAGAUGAAAUAGGUUAAUGGCAUAGAAUAAAACACAACAAGUUUAAGAAAAGAAGCAAAGAAUUUGUAACCAACUGAAAUGGCAAGAAGUUCUAGCCAAUUAAUCAAUCUGCCGACUAAGAAAAACUCUGUAAGUAUUUGUUCAACUCUCUUCACACCCAUUCUGUCUUCAUGUCCCAUGCACAUUCACACAUUUGAGUUUUCACUCAUUAAAAUGCUCACAGGGACUGUGAUCCACUGCCGCUGAAGUCAGUAAAAAGGACUCUUAAUGAUUUCCCUUGGAUAAGACCCAAAACACACACUGCACCUUUUACAUUGUACUCUCACACACCAAGUGUUAAAUACUUGUACAUGGGAGUAGUUGCACCCACAAGGACUACACUAAUUUGGCAUGGGACAUUGCUCAUAACAUAGGACUAUAGAGGUUUCAAAGCUCUUUCAGAAAAGUCAGGAAACAGAAGGAAUACGAUGCAAUUUAUGUGACACAAUCAUAACUUAGCAAUACAAUUCAAAUAUCAGAAUGCCAAAUACAGUUCUUGCAAUCCCUGAAAAUAUGUAAUCACUCUAUACAGUAAGAUAUAAAAUGUCAAAAAAUAAAUAAUUGCAUUUCCAAAACAAAAAACAUGCCUCUGUUUUGAUUCACCAUGAGAAGGGAAAGAAAAUGAACUUGUCAAAUAAAUUAUAUGCUAUGAAUCACUUGCUCAGGUCUGUUCAUUAAACAAAACCUUUUUCAAAACACAUUGUUCUAUAUGAAGAAUGCUGUUGCUCUUUCUUCCAGCUGCAUAAAGGUCUUCCAUUCAAAAUUUCACUGUUUAUUUCACUGUUUCACUGCUAUUUAAUUACACCUAUCUUUG
Molecule: non-coding RNA, 7013 nt
Organism: Struthio camelus australis
Lineage: Eukaryota; Metazoa; Chordata; Aves; Struthioniformes; Struthionidae
Source: RefSeq, a predicted model, not a curated record